GGGCUCACUCCAAGCCGGAAACUCUGACCGAUAAUCAGAUCAGAGAGGUUAAACUCCUCUUGAGCCCU
This 68-nucleotide transfer RNA is filed under the name Holothuria poli. Its description in RNAcentral is "tRNA-Ile". The record is from RNAcentral. Lineage: Eukaryota; Metazoa; Echinodermata; Holothuroidea; Aspidochirotida; Holothuriidae.